AUGCUGGAGGACCUGAAGCUCUCGCACAGGCUGCAGACCGACUGGAGGCUGUCGUGCUGGGCCAGGGAGGACUCGAGGCUGUCGGAGAGGCGGCUCGACGCCGCGGGGUUGCUGUGGCACGUCCCGGAGCACCCUCGGCCCGGGCAGGCGGCGAGCGGGCCCUGCAGGCUGUCCUCGCCGGCGCCGAGCGACGCCGAGCCGCUGCCGCAGCAGGGGCACUCCAGGCUGUCACACUGGAUGCUGGGCGACUCGCGGGGGCUGCCGCUGCUGGGGAGCGCUUGCAGGCUGUCGGGCGGCAGCGAGCCGGAGCCCAGCCCGGGGCUGCUGCAGGGGCUGGCCGGGGCGCGGGGGCUCUCGGGCGGGUCCGCGGGGGCGGGCUCGGGACUGUGGCCGGGGACGGAGGGCUCGGCGGCCGGGGCCUCUACCGGCCACAUCCCCCGGGCAGCGCCCCUCCGCCCCGCGGCGAGGCCCGGCCCGGCCCAGCGCUGGCCGCAGGCACGGCGGGACCGGCGACGGCGCCGUCCCUGCCCGUCCCAGCCCCGCGGCGGCGCCCGCCGCCCCCUGCCCCCACCGCGGCGCAUGCGCGGGGCCGCCUCCGCCCGCCCCUACCCCGCGCCCAGCGAGCCGCGCGGCCUGUGCGCGCCGCCUGCGCGCUCCCGCCUGGCGCCGCUGCCCUCCGCCUGCCCGCAGGCGCCCGGCAGGUACGGGGCAGGGGCCGGGGCCGGCGGGGGGAAGGCGAGGCGAGGCAGCAGGUGCGCGGGGGCGGUGCGUUACAUACCGCGCUGCCUUCCGCUCGCUGUCCGUGCGGAGCGCGGCGCCGGCCAGCGGCAGGAACUGCUGGCGCAUCCCGGGAGGGAGCGGAGCGGGGCCCGGCCCGGGCAGAGCCGCCGCCGGCCGGGGCCCGGAGCGCAGCGUGAGGGGCCGCUGUGCCGGCCCCGGACCCCGCCGGAGCGGGCGCCCCCUCGACCCGGGAUGCGGAGCGGGGAGGGCUGGGUUUGGGCGCGCAGCGGCGGACGGGCGGGGGCGGGGGCGCGCAGCGGCGGGGACGCGGCGCGCCGCGGGAGCGCAGUUUCUGGAAGAAUGCUACGAAUUCAGCUCUGGGCAUUUUUAGUAGGAAUGCACGAGUACCGAGAGGUCUGCUUUGGAAAAAGAAAAAAAUCGGGAGUGUUUGGUACAAAAUCAGCGCGAACGUGGGAAGCGCGCGUUUUCCGGCAGGCACUGGCAGCGGCCCGGAGGCGGCGGCUCCGCACCCGGCCGGGGGAGGGGGGAGCGGGGCACCCGCCGCCCGUGGGUGAUGCUCGGCUCCGGCCAGCGCGCGUGGUGCUGCGCAGGGGGAGCGAACUGCUGAGGGCACAUCCCACGGAAACGCGGCGCUGCCAGCUGCUGCCUUUCGGGUUUCCCUGUACGUUCCCACCGCUGUCUUUUUUUCCCAAACCUCACGGCCGGAGCUCGGUGGCUUGCGGCGCCCGUGGGCUGCCGGGGCCACCGUGCCGCGCCGGGACCAGUCCCGGGACGGGGCCGCGGCUCCCCCCGGCACCGGCAGGGCGGGGGGUGCUGGCUCCCACGGCGCGGGUGCUGGGCGGGGGCAGUGCUGUCCGGGGCGCGUCAGCGGCCUGUGAUGGGUAUCUUGCUGCUUUACAACCCGGUUCUGUGGGGAGGGGUCACACGGUGUUUGUUCACUGCAUCCCUAGGCCGAGGCGAUGCCCGUGUUUGAUGCUCUCUGUCGGGCGAACCUGA
Molecule: long non-coding RNA, 1737 nt
Organism: Falco tinnunculus (common kestrel)
Lineage: Eukaryota; Metazoa; Chordata; Aves; Falconiformes; Falconidae
Source: Ensembl